AACGAACGCUGGCGGCAGGCUUAACACAUGCAAGUCGAGCGCCCCCGCAAGGGGAGUGGCAGACGGGUGAGUAACACGUGGGAACGUGCCCUUCGCUUCGGGAUAGCCUCGGGAAACUGGGAGUAAUACCGAAUACGCCGUAUUGGGAAAGAUUUAUCGGCGAAGGAUCGGCCCGCGUUGGAUUAGCUAGUUGGCGGUGUAAUGGACCACCAAGGCUACGAUCCAUAGCUGGUCUGAGAGGACGACCAGCCACACUGGGACUGAGACACGGCCCAGACUCCUACGGGAGGCAGCAGUGGGGGAAUCUUGGACAAUGGCGCAAGCCUGAUCCAGCCAUGCCGCGUGAGUGAAGAAGGACCUUAGGGUUGUAAAACUCUUUCGCCGGUGAAGAUAAUGACGGUAACCGGAGAAGAAGCCCGGCUAACUUCGUGCCAGCAGCCGCGGUAAU
RNAcentral lists this ribosomal RNA (448 nucleotides) under uncultured bacterium. RNAcentral describes it as "bacterial SSU rRNA". It matches the Rfam family "Bacterial small subunit ribosomal RNA", at positions 29 to 524 of the family's 1533-position model. The record is from RNAcentral.